Molecule: transfer RNA, 69 nt
Filed under: Ocypode ceratophthalmus
Lineage: Eukaryota; Metazoa; Arthropoda; Malacostraca; Decapoda; Ocypodidae
Description: tRNA-Gln
Source: RNAcentral
UAUUCGUUAGUGUACAGAGCAUAAAAAGUUUUGAUCUUUUAGGGAGUGGUGCAAUUCCAUUACGUUUAA